RNAcentral lists this ribosomal RNA (505 nucleotides) under uncultured bacterium. RNAcentral's name for it is "partial 16S ribosomal RNA". It matches the Rfam family "Bacterial small subunit ribosomal RNA", at positions 28 to 507 of the family's 1533-position model. The record is from RNAcentral.
GACGAACGCUGGCGGCGUGCCUAAUACAUGCAAGUAGAACGCACAGUUUAUACCGUAGCUUGCUACACCAUAGACUGUGAGUUGCGAACGGGUGAGUAACGCGUAGGUAACCUGCCUGGUAGCGGGGGAUAACUAUUGGAAACGAUAGCUAAUACCGCAUAAUAUUGAUUAUUGCAUGAUAAUUAAUUGAAAGGUGCAAUUGCACCACUACCAGAUGGACCUGCGUUGUAUUAGCUAGUAGGUGAGGUAACGGCUCACCUAGGCGACGAUACAUAGCCGACCUGAGAGGGUGAUCGGCCACACUGGGACUGAGACACGGCCCAGACUCCUACGGGAGGCAGCAGUAGGGAAGCUUCGGCAAUGGACGAAAGUCUGACCGAGCAACGCCGCGUGAGUGAAGAAGGUUUUCGGAUCGUAAAGCUCGGUUGUAAGAGAAGAACGGGUGUGAGAGUGGAAAGUUCACACUGUGACGGUAUCUUACCAGAAAGGGACGGCUAACUACGUG